Long non-coding RNA from Homo sapiens (human), 1298 nucleotides. Ensembl annotates it as ETS2 antisense RNA 1. Its record names the gene ETS2-AS1. Lineage: Eukaryota; Metazoa; Chordata; Mammalia; Primates; Hominidae. The record is from Ensembl.
ACAGGGGGUCUUCUCUCUUGGCUUUGGAGCUCCCCAUUCCUCUGUGUCUGUAACAGGGGAGCUUCUUCCUUCUUUCUUCUCCCUUCUUUCUUGCCUGUUAAACUCUCUGCUUCUUAAAACCACUCCAUGUAUGUCCAGGUCAUUUUAUCUAAUUUGGAGACGGAGAACCCUGGUGUUCCUCUGCUCAUCAGAGCCGUCUCACCUGCAAGGGCCAGGAUCCAGCACUAGGGCUGCCCUUUAUGUUCAUGCAGCCUCCACUAGGAAGAUCCUCCUUAGCUGCCACCUGCUGUAAAGGGAUCUAUCUAUCUAUCUGUCUAUCUAUCUAUCUAUCUAUCUUUCUAUCUACCUGUCGAGAGAGAGAGAGGUUUAUUAUAAGGAAUUGACUCAUGUGAUUAUGGAGGCUGAGAAGUUCCACAGUCUGCUGUCUGCAAGCUGGAGACCCAGGAAGGCUGCUGGUGCCGUUCCAGUUUGAUUCUGAAGGCCUGAGAACCAGAACUGAUGGUAUGAGUUCUAGUCCAAGUCCACAGAAAUGAAACUGGAGAACCAAAGGUCCCACUCAACAUGAAGAUGACAAGGAUGAAGACCUUUAUGAUGAUCCAUUCCCACUUACUGAAUAGAUGAAGCUUCUUGGUGAUGUAACAGUCUGUGGAAACUCCCACAGGACAAAUGCAGAAAGGAAGGACCUAGAUCACUGGAUGGUCAACGUUGCCCCUUGCACAGCAGCAAAGGCCUAUACAAAUUUUUUGAGUAGCUUUAUCUAGUGGUUCAGCUACUGGGAAUAACUUGUAAAAUCCCCUGGAUAGUCAACAGCAUUGGGGCUUGCUUUGUAAACAGAGACCUGACCUACUUAAUUCUUCCCAGAGGUUGGAAAAAGAGGCUGGACUCACACAGACAUGAAACCUUGGCUUAAUUGGACACUAAUUACUCAUAAGAGAUCUGUUUACCCGAACUUCCCCUAGACCAAGCUCAGUAUAAAAUGAGAGGAUGCAUAAAGAAGCAAGAUAUUUAGAGGAAAAUGUCACAAAUACAUUUAUCAGUCCCAAAAGUCCUUUUUUUUCCCCAGAAGUGAUGUUGCUAAUUGCACAAAAAUAAACAAUACAGGGGUUGAUAAAUUCCACAUUUAAGGGCUGAGGAUAGUGUCCCUACAUUUCUAAGAAGCUGUAUAUUUGGAAAUGAAUACAAUUGAAAGUAAGGAUAAGUGGCAUUCUAAAGCCAAUUGGAUAACUUGAAUGAACAAGCAGAAUUUACCAUAUUUUGAUAUGUUUCUUUUUGAUUAAAGUAUCUGUAAAGGAAACAAA